GCAAUAGCUGAUUGCAUUUAAUUUAAUGUAGUUACUACUUGGUACUUUAAAUUUCAAGGUAGAAUUAUGAUGAUGACAUUAUCUAUCUAAUAGUCUUGACCAAAUUACGUGCCAGCUGUCGCGGUAAUACGUAGAAGACAAGUGUUAUUCAUCUUUAUUAGGUUUAAAGAGUACCAAGACGGUUAAUAAAGCCCAAAAGAAAUGAAUACGGGGGACACAUUAACUAGAGUUAUAUGAAAGGAAGCUCUAAGGUACUGUUGAGUGUAGAGAUGAAAUUUAAUGAUACCAGAUGAUUGGCACAGAUUUAUGCGAAGGCAUCUUCUUAUGUAAUAACUGACGUUGUAGGACGAAGGCUUAGGUAAUGAACAGGAUUAGGUACCCCAGUAAUCUAGGCAGAAAAUGAUGAAUGUCAUAGGUUCAAUUGUGUCUAUAAAUGAAAGUGUAAGCAUUCCACCUCAAGAGUAAUUUGGCAACAUUGGAACUGAAAUCAUUAGACCGUUUCUGAAACCAGUAGUGAAGUAUGUUGUUUAAUUAGAUGAUACACAAAAACCUUACCNCAAUUUGAAUAUAUAUAAAAUAUAUUUACAAGCGCUGCACGGCUGUCUACAGUUAAUGUCGUGAGACUUUGGUUAGCUCCAUUAAAUUGACGUAAACCCAAAUUU
This 662-nucleotide ribosomal RNA is filed under the name Sticta neopulmonarioides. RNAcentral describes it as "SSU rRNA". It matches the Rfam family "Bacterial small subunit ribosomal RNA", at positions 375 to 1111 of the family's 1533-position model. The record is from RNAcentral. Lineage: Eukaryota; Fungi; Ascomycota; Lecanoromycetes; Peltigerales; Lobariaceae.